This 516-nucleotide long non-coding RNA is filed under the name Trifolium pratense (red clover). Its description in RNAcentral is "long non-coding RNA (TPRA_LNC014270)". Lineage: Eukaryota; Viridiplantae; Streptophyta; Magnoliopsida; Fabales; Fabaceae. The record is from RNAcentral.
AGGAGUGAAUCCACUAUGAUAGUAUUAGUUCAAAGCCCUCAAUAAACGCCCCGUUUAUGACUUCUCACCUAAUCACCACCCGUGCUAUAUUCUACCUAAGUCACUCCUAGGUAUGAGAACCUCCGCUCAACUCCUCUUAAUCACAGCCACUGUGAUCGUACACGUUACAGUUUACAGAUGAAGACACACUUCUUAAAACAUCCACCAAUUCCGUACUUCAAAGCUUAGGAAUGGUUCAUACACACUAUCUCCUUGCUUAGAAGCUCUGGAGAUAUUACAACACAGUAACACACAGUCCUUAAUCUUGCAACAAGGUAAUACAAGAAGAGGAACAAAAUUAACAACACUAAAACCCUAAACACACGCUUUGUAAAACUCAAUUACGGCUUCAGUGAGUUGCACAAGGGUUCGGUCUUCCUUUAUAUAGCACGAGCUAGGUCUUGAAUUGGGCUUCAAAAACGCAGCAGGUCCAGAAGUUACUUCAAGGAAUAUUCUUGUAUCAAAUGUUUUGUUUCC